This 497-nucleotide ribosomal RNA is filed under the name uncultured bacterium. Its description in RNAcentral is "partial 16S ribosomal RNA". It matches the Rfam family "Bacterial small subunit ribosomal RNA", at positions 28 to 507 of the family's 1533-position model. The record is from RNAcentral.
GAUGAACGCUGGCGGCGUGCCUAAUACAUGCAAGUCGAGCGAACGGACGAGAAGCUUGCUUCUCUGAUGUUAGCGGCGGACGGGUGAGUAACACGUGGAUAACCUACCUAUAAGACUGGGAUAACUUCGGGAAACCGGAGCUAAUACCGGAUAAUAUUUUGAACCGCAUGGUUCAAAAGUGAAAGACGGUCUUGCUGUCACUUAUAGAUGGAUCCGCGCUGCAUUAGCUAGUUGGUAAGGUAACGGCUUACCAAGGCAACGAUGCAUAGCCGACCUGAGAGAGGGGUAGGCCACACUGGAGCGUAGACACGGUCCAGACGCCUACGGGAGGCAGCAGUAGGGAAUCGUCCGCAAUGGGCGAAAGCCUGACGGAGCAACGCCACGUGAGUGGUGAAGGUCUUCGGAGCGUGAAACUCUGUUAUUAGGGAAGAACAUAUGUGUAAGUAACUGUGCACAUCUUGACGGUACCUAAUCAGAAAGCCACGGCUAACUACGUG